UGUAGUGAUGGUGGUGGUGGCAGUAGCAGUGGUGGUGAUAGUAGUAGUAGUAGUAGUUGUAGUAAUAGGAGCAGUAAUAGUAGUAGUAGUAGUGGUGGUGGUGGCUGUGGCAGCAGCAGCUUGGUGCUUACUGUGGAGGCUGACAGAAGCACCAAUAGCUGUGGGCUGAGGUGGUGACUGUCUCUUUAGCAGCUCACCAAUUGACAGGGUCACCAAUUGUGUCGGAGAGAGGUGGUGAUGGUGGCAGUGGUGGUGAUGGUCCCUUCCUCCCCUCCCCUCCAUCUUCCCUUCUACAGGCUGGUUAAUUAGAUAUAGUAGUGUAGAGGUGGACAAGUAUGGUGGUGGUGGUGGUGAUGAUGCACAUACAACACUAGAACAUGAUACUAUAGAUUUUCAAGUUAAGUGGGUGUUGUGGUGGUGUAGUGAAGGAUAUAACACCACAACACCUUGCCUUUCUCAUCCUCAUGCAACACCACACACUAAGAAAGUUAUUGUAAUGGUGUUGAUGGUGCUGAAGGAAUGAAUGGUGAGCUAGGGUGGAGUUCUGCUGUAAUGUCCUGGGUUUUGGCACCACUAUACUCCCACUUGUUUUCUAUUAUGUCCUCCUCCUCCUCCUCCCAGUGUGUGUUCUUUUCCUUCUUUCACCACCACCUUUUACCAUGGUGUGUAUGUGUGUGUGCACGUGCUUUCCCUUCCCUUCCACCUCCUUCUUUUAGUGUAGUAAAGGAAACACAUGAAUCAAGUUUUGUUCUUUUAGUUUUGUUUGUCAUUUUUUGGUUUGUCUUGGUCUCAUUUCUAACUUUGCCUCAUCUGAGUUUUGUCUUGUUAUAAAUGUCAAGUGCCAGACUAACAAUAAUUAUUAAUGGUAUUGAAAAGGAAUUAAAAUCUUCACACAAAUGAGGCCUAAUUAUUAAUGGUAUUGAAAAGGAAUUAAAAUCUUCACACAUGCCUCUCAUUUGCACAUUUUAUUCAAUCUAUUUCAAGAAAGUUUAGACUCAUUCAGCAAUACAUAUUAGUAAACAGGAACAGUAGCAGCAGUAGUAGUGUUGUCUUUUAAUAGGUAUCUUAUUAAUUAACAAAUAAUUAGUUAGUUGUGUGUAUAAUAAAUUUUGUAGUGUUUAAAUAAAUUUUGUAGUGUUUAAUAUCUAAUGCACUCCACAUUACCACCAGCCACCCUGACCACUGAGAGGAGAGGAAGAGACAUUAUGAAGAGACCAAGAUUUAAGACAGCAAGACUGAGGAUAACAAAGAACUAGAAACAUUAUGAAGAGCAACAACUUGAGGGCAGUAGAGAGCAUUGAGAAAGAAGAGUGAGCAGUGAGUAUAGAGGAGUUGGCACCAGCAGAGCAUGUAAGAGAGAAGAGAAGUGACACUUGCAGUAAGGAAGAGAACACAAGAAUGGGAAUAGUCAUUAUCAAAGACACACCACAGCAGCAUGAGAGGAGAGAGAACACAGGAGCAGGGAAACAGACUGGGCAACAAAAGGAGGGAACACACCAUCAUCAAAGAAGAGAUUAGAGAUAGUAGGGUGAGAAGGCUACCAAGAAGAGAACAAAGGAGAGAAGAGAGAAGUGACCAGCGAAGAAAAGAAAAAGGUUCCUCCUAUCGCAGAGAAGAGAAGAGAAGAAGGGACCAGCAUCAAAACAAUAACUUAACACAAAUAGAAAUGCAUGUUAUUCAGGUUGUGUUCUUUAAUCUGUUGUGUCCAUGGUGUGUUCUUUCACCAUGUUCUUUAACCUCUGUGUGUGCUCUUCAAUGGUGUGUUCUCUCAUCAUCCCCAUCCACUUGUACUGCUGCA
RNAcentral lists this long non-coding RNA (1798 nucleotides) under Portunus trituberculatus (swimming crab). Its description in RNAcentral is "uncharacterized LOC123501998". Lineage: Eukaryota; Metazoa; Arthropoda; Malacostraca; Decapoda; Portunidae. The record is from RNAcentral.